GCGUCCGUAGUUCAAUUGGUAGAAUGUCGGUCUCCAAAACCGAUGGUUUCAGGUUCGAGUCCUGACGGGCGUG
This 73-nucleotide transfer RNA is filed under the name bacterium. Its description in RNAcentral is "tRNA-Trp". It matches the Rfam family "tRNA". Rfam says of the family: Transfer RNA (tRNA) molecules are approximately 80 nucleotides in length. Their secondary structure includes four short double-helical elements and three loops (D, anti-codon, and T loops). The record is from RNAcentral.